This 72-nucleotide transfer RNA is filed under the name Candidatus Moraniibacteriota bacterium. Its description in RNAcentral is "tRNA-Phe". It matches the Rfam family "tRNA". From Rfam's summary of the family: Transfer RNA (tRNA) molecules are approximately 80 nucleotides in length. Their secondary structure includes four short double-helical elements and three loops (D, anti-codon, and T loops). Lineage: Bacteria; Candidatus Moraniibacteriota. The record is from RNAcentral.
GCCGAGAUAGCUCAGUGGUAGAGCACAGGACUGAAAAUCCUGGUGUCGGCGGUUCAAUCCCGCCUCUCGGCA